GGACAUUUCGCAGGUAACCCGCACGGCCCAGCGGCGCCGCAUAACCCGCUCCCCGCUUCCUUGAUGGCGAACCCUAGCGCCGCCAUGGCGAGUCCCUCGGCUCGACCUCCGCUGCCUCCCGUUCCUACACCUGCUCCACGUGCGUCGCCUCCAUUGAUGCCGGCGCCAGCGCCCGGAUCCGCGCCAGCGCCAUUGAGAUCUGGGAUCAUGGUCGCAACCUCUGCUCCCUCGGCGAUGCUGUCUCCACUGCCGCCGCCACCUGCUUCGUCGCCCGCAGCAGCAACUGUGCCGGUGCCCUUGGCUGGCAUGAAGACGGCGGUGGCAUCCUCCUCCCGGAAACAUCCAAGCAGCAGGUUGAUGUUUCUGGGUUCUACCUGCGAUGAUUCUGGGUUGCCUGAUCCCACUAUUACAUCACAGAAAGGCUUUUGCUGUUGAAUUCUGGGUUCGAAGAAGCUGCAGCAGUAGGAUUGCUAAGCCACAUAGAGAAAAAGUGAUGGAUCCAAGUGUAGCGCUAAUAGAUUAGUGUGGUUCUGUAAUGUAUACAACAACAUAGCCUUUUUUCCCAAGCAAGUUGGGGUAGGCUAGAGAUGAAACCCGAAAGAAAUAAGUUCAAGGUUCAGGCACAUUGAUAGCUA
Molecule: long non-coding RNA, 635 nt
Organism: Panicum virgatum (switchgrass)
Lineage: Eukaryota; Viridiplantae; Streptophyta; Magnoliopsida; Poales; Poaceae
Exons: 2
Source: RefSeq, a predicted model, not a curated record